UCUCCUGGAAACGGGUGGUAAUGCCGGAUGCUCCAUCACACUGCAUGGUGUGUUGGGAAAGCCUUUGCGGCAUGGGAUGGGGUCGCGUCCUAUCAGCUUGAUGGCGGGGUAACGGCCCACCAUGGCUUCGACGGGUAGCCGGCCUGAGAGGGCGACCGGCCACAUUGGGACUGAGAUACGGCCCAGACUCCUACGGGAGGCAGCAGUGGGGAAUAUUGCACAAUGGGCGCAAGCCUGAUGCAGCGACGCCGCGUGAGGGAUGGAGGCCUUCGGGUUGUAAACCUCUUUUGUUAGGGAGCAAGGCAUUUUGUGUUGAGUGUACCUUUCGAAUAAGCACCGGCUAACUACGUGCCAGCAGCCGCGGUAAUACGUAGGGUGCAAGCGUUAUCCGGAAUUAUUGGGCGUAAAGGGCUCGUAGGCGGUUCGUCGCGUCCGGUGUGAAAGUCCAUCGCUUAACGGUGGAUCCGCGCCGGGUACGGGCGGGCUUGAGUGCGGUAGGGGAGACUGGAAUUCCCGGUGUAACGGUGGAAUGUGUAGAUAUC
Molecule: ribosomal RNA, 542 nt
Filed under: Bifidobacterium breve
Lineage: Bacteria; Bacillati; Actinomycetota; Actinomycetes; Bifidobacteriales; Bifidobacteriaceae
Description: bacterial SSU rRNA
Rfam family: Bacterial small subunit ribosomal RNA
Source: RNAcentral